Molecule: ribosomal RNA, 509 nt
Filed under: Kyphosus gladius
Lineage: Eukaryota; Metazoa; Chordata; Actinopteri; Centrarchiformes; Kyphosidae
Description: partial 12S ribosomal RNA
Source: RNAcentral
CAAAGGCUUGGUCCUGACUUUACUAUCAACUUUAGCCAAACUUACACAUGCAAGUAUCCGCACCCCCGUGAGAAUGCCCCACAGUUCCCUGCCCGGGAACAAGGAGCUGGUAUCAGGCACAUUUAACUAUAAGCCCACGACACCUUGCUUAGCCACACCCUCAAGGGAACUCAGCAGUGAUAAACAUUAAGCCAUAAGUGAAAACUUGACUUAGUCAAGGCUAAGAGGGCCGGUAAAACUCGGNNCAGCCACNNNNCUCCUUGUUCCCGGGCAGGGAACUGGNGGGGCAUUCUCACGGGGGUGCGGAUACUUGCAUGUGUAAGUUUGGCUAAAGUUGAUAGUAAAGUCAGGACCAAGCCUUUGUGCUUACGGAACUUUCUAGGGCUCAUCUUAACAUCUUCAGUGUUAUGCUUUAAUUAAGCUACGUUAGCUUCAUGCAUUAUUUUAAUAGUGUAAAUANACACAUUUUGGGUUCNAAAACGUACUAUCAGAGGUUUUCCUGUUUCCGG